GACGAACGCUGGCGGCGUGCUUAACACAUGCAAGUCGAACGCUGAAGCCCAGCUUGCUGGGUGGAUGAGUGGCGAACGGGUGAGUAACACGUGAGUAACCUGCCCCCUUCUUUGGGAUAACGCCCGGAAACGGGUGCUAAUACUGGAUAUUCACUGGCCUUCGCAUGGGGGUUGGUGGAAAGGUUUUUUCUGGUGGGGGAUGGGCUCGCGGCCUAUCAGCUUGUUGGUGGGGUGAUGGCCUACCAAGGCUUUGACGGGUAGCCGGCCUGAGAGGGUGACCGGUCACAUUGGGACUGAGAUACGGCCCAGACUCCUACGGGAGGCAGCAGUGGGGAAUAUUGCACAAUGGGCGAAAGCCUGAUGCAGCGACGCCGCGUGAGGGAUGACGGCCUUCGGGUUGUAAACCUCUUUCGCUCAUGGUCAAGCCGCAGCUUUGGGUUGUGGUGAGGGUAGUGGGUAAAGAAGCGCCGGCUAACUACGUGCCCCGC
Molecule: ribosomal RNA, 488 nt
Filed under: uncultured Actinomyces sp.
Lineage: Bacteria; Bacillati; Actinomycetota; Actinomycetes; Actinomycetales; Actinomycetaceae
Description: bacterial SSU rRNA
Rfam family: Bacterial small subunit ribosomal RNA
Source: RNAcentral